ACAAUAGCAAGGUCUGAUGGGAGAUUGAGGGGGGACAAAGUAGCCAGUUUAAACUGGUCUGGCAGUGUCCCUGGGACAACACCCUGCUGGGGAAAUAACAGGACAAGAAAAAGGGUGAGGUGAAGAGGCACAUUUUCCCAUGGAAAUCACUCAUUAGCAUGUCUUUUUGCAGAGCCCAUAGUCUUGGGGCAAGAGGCUGGCAAUCAGGCCCCUCCAAAAGCCAGUUGCGAAAGGCAAUUCAUCACAAGCUGCUAAAAGUAGAAUGUGAGGCCAGUUUUGCAUAGUGUAUUAAGGGGAAUGUCGGUGUGUAGGAGCACAAUUUCACACUGGCUAGGAUAUUAAUGGGGACUAUCUCAUCCCAAUAUUUUUUAAUUAGGGGGGCAAUGCCACCAUAGAUGAAUAAUCAAG
Non-coding RNA from Pelobates cultripes (western spadefoot toad), 408 nucleotides. The record is from the annotation of a GenBank genome assembly. Lineage: Eukaryota; Metazoa; Chordata; Amphibia; Anura; Pelobatidae.